Molecule: ribosomal RNA, 635 nt
Filed under: Stenotrophomonas sp. So3Pw_2884
Lineage: Bacteria; Pseudomonadati; Pseudomonadota; Gammaproteobacteria; Lysobacterales; Lysobacteraceae
Description: bacterial SSU rRNA
Rfam family: Bacterial small subunit ribosomal RNA
Source: RNAcentral
GCCUGAUCCAGCCAUACCGCGUGGGUGAAGAAGGCCUUCGGGUUGUAAAGCCCUUUUGUUGGGAAAGAAAAGCAGUCGGCUAAUACCCGGUUGUUCUGACGGUACCCAAAGAAUAAGCACCGGCUAACUUCGUGCCAGCAGCCGCGGUAAUACGAAGGGUGCAAGCGUUACUCGGAAUUACUGGGCGUAAAGCGUGCGUAGGUGGUUGUUUAAGUCUGUUGUGAAAGCCCUGGGCUCAACCUGGGAAUUGCAGUGGAUACUGGGCGACUAGAGUGUGGUAGAGGGUAGUGGAAUUCCCGGUGUAGCAGUGAAAUGCGUAGAGAUCGGGAGGAACAUCCAUGGCGAAGGCAGCUACCUGGACCAACACUGACACUGAGGCACGAAAGCGUGGGGAGCAAACAGGAUUAGAUACCCUGGUAGUCCACGCCCUAAACGAUGCGAACUGGAUGUUGGGUGCAAUUUGGCACGCAGUAUCGAAGCUAACGCGUUAAGUUCGCCGCCUGGGGAGUACGGUCGCAAGACUGAAACUCAAAGGAAUUGACGGGGGCCCGCACAAGCGGUGGAGUAUGUGGUUUAAUUCGAUGCAACGCGGAGAACCUUACCUGGUCUUGACAUGUCGAGAACUUUCCAGAGAU